This 743-nucleotide ribosomal RNA is filed under the name uncultured bacterium. RNAcentral describes it as "bacterial SSU rRNA". It matches the Rfam family "Bacterial small subunit ribosomal RNA", at positions 57 to 797 of the family's 1533-position model. The record is from RNAcentral.
GCAGUCAGGGGCAGCACAGGUAGCAAUACUUGGUGGCGACCGGCGCANNNNUGCGUAACGCGUGAGCAACAUGCCCGUAUCAGGGGGAUAAUCCAGGGAAACUUGGUCUAAUACCCCAUAGUAAGUUUUUGAGGCAUCUCAAGGAUUUUAAAGCUUUGGUGGAUACGGAUUGGCUCGCGUGACAUUAGCUAGAUGGUAAGGUAACGGCUUACCAUGGCUACGAUGUCUAGGGGUUCUGAGAGGAAGGUCCCCCACACUGGAACUGAGACACGGUCCAGACUCCUACGGGAGGCAGCAGUGAGGAAUAUUGGACAAUGGAUGGAAAUCUGAUCCAGCCAUGCCGCGCGCAGGAAGACGGCCCUAUGGGUUGUAAACUGCUUUUGUAUGGGAGCAAUAAGAUCUACGUGUAGAUUGAUGAGAGUACCAUACGAAUAAGCACCGGCUAACUCCGUGCCAGCAGCCGCGGUAAUACGGAGGGUGCAAGCGUUAUCCGGAUUUAUUGGGUUUAAAGGGUGCGUAGGCGGUUUGAUAAGUCAGCGGUGAAAUAUUUCAGCUUAACUGGAAGGGUGCCGUUGAUACUGUCAGGCUUGAAUUUAGUUGCUGUGGGUGGAAUGUGUGGUGUAGCGGUGAAAUGCAUAGAUAUCACACAGAAUAUCGAUUGCGAAGGCAGCUCACAAAGCUAAUAUUGACGCUGAUGCACGAAAGUGUGGGGAUCAAACAGGAUUAGAUACCCUGGUAGUNNA